Molecule: ribosomal RNA, 432 nt
Filed under: Dysdera crocata
Lineage: Eukaryota; Metazoa; Arthropoda; Arachnida; Araneae; Dysderidae
Description: partial 16S ribosomal RNA
Rfam family: Bacterial large subunit ribosomal RNA
Source: RNAcentral
AGCUUUAUGAAAUUACAUAAAGUACAUCCUGCUCAGUGUCUAUAAACAGCCGCAGAACCUUAUACUGUGCUAAGGUAGCAUAAUCACUUGUCUUUUAAUUUAAGAAUAGAAUGAAUGGAAAAACGAAUAUUAUUCUGCUUCAUUUUUUUAAAAUAAAAUUACUUAAAAGUAAAAAUUCUUUUUUUUUGAAAAAAAAAGACGAUAAGACCCUAAAGAACUUAACUACAGUUAAGCUGGGGCGGCACUGUAAAAAAAUCUUACACUAACCCUUUAGUAACUCCUAACUUUAUAUAAAGUUACCUUAGGGAUAACAGCAUAAUUUAAUUUUAAAGCUCCUAUAAAAAAUUAAGAUUAUGACCUCGAUGUUGAAUUAAGCCUCUCUCCGACGAAAAUUUCGGACAAGAAAGUCUGUUCGACUUGUAAAAAAUUACA